Molecule: non-coding RNA, 4139 nt
Organism: Podarcis lilfordi (Lilford's wall lizard)
Lineage: Eukaryota; Metazoa; Chordata; Lepidosauria; Squamata; Lacertidae
Source: the annotation of a GenBank genome assembly
UGCGCCCGGCUUGCAAAUAUUAAUUUUCCACUCUUCUUCUUGUUGGCAAAGGUUAUCGAAGAAAAUUGUACUGGGAUCACUUUUUCAAAGGUUCUGUAAAACAACUAUUAAUAAUAGCAGUGUUGCCAAAGAAAAAGCAGAAAAGCAAGCAUCUAUUGCAAGAUCAUUCUGUAAAGGCAUUAAUUAAAAUACACACAUUAUUGCUGUGCCACUGUGGUGUUGAUGAUUUGUACCUUCUGUAGAAGUUAUUUGGGGGGGAGUGUCUCUGUAAAUAACAGGUUUUUGUUCUGAGAUGCGGUGCUCUCGGCUGCAUUACAAAUCCCUGAAACUCUCUCUCUCUAGCAAAAUCUGAACUAAUGUGUUGGCAAUACCUUUGAAGUCCUACUUAAUAAAUCUCCGAUUUGUCUCAUUCUUCAUAUUGCCCACCCCUUUGGCUUUCAAAGAGCAGGAGGCAGGGUCUCCUUGGAGGCUGCCAUCGGUUCUGCUCUGUGGCUCUGGCAAGAGGGAUUACUAUAGGGGCAAGGCGACGAACCAGCUCCUUCUCCCACAAAGCAUUUCCAUUUUGACAUGCCAAGUUCCUAAUGUUCCUGUGCAAGAAUGCCCCAAGGUCACUUGUAUGCUGUGGCUUCAGGGUGACAGCAAACAUGCCACCAAGUUACUGGGGUUGCCAAUAUAAUGACCCAGGACGUUCCUUUUUCGUUUUUGUCUAAAAGGCAAAAUGCAACUUUCUGCGAGGAUUUCUGUGUCUCAUUAACUAAGCAAAUGAGGUCGGGCAUUGUCAACACCGGCUUUGUUUUGCAAAUGAGACGGGGUGCUUGCGUGUUGAAAUUAGAACAGCUAAAGGAAUGUCAGAGUAGCCAAACUUUUAAUUCCUUCCUCUCCCCACCCCCUUUAAGUCUGCUAUGUCCAAUUUUUUCCAUUGUUCCUUCCGUCCGCCAGUCCAAAGUGUCGUUAUUUAUUACAUGCCAAUUGGUCUGUCUCCAAAGACCCAUGUUGCAAGGCUGGAACCAUGUUCUCUCACACACCUGUUAAAAAUAGCUCUUUGGAGUUCCCUUGGCUACUAAAUCUUAACAGUCAGGUCAGAUUAAUGGUCCAGAGGAAUGUUGACGCCAUUUCUACAUCUCUUCUAACUGGUACAAAUACACAACAUCUCAGUUGCUUGCCCUUGUUUGCAGGCUGGCCGUGUUGUCGUACUAUUGCUUCCUCUUUUCACAACAGCCAAUGAAAAAGAAGGGACACCCUCGCUGAGUUUCAGGUUUGCUAAGCAAGAGAACCGAACCAAACCUGGAAAGGAAAGUGAGGCUAGAUACUGGGUUCCUGACAGCUGGACCUCUAUGUUCAACUACAUAUCAGAGCCAGGCCCUUUUGGAGUCUGUUCCCAGAUUUAAUUGGUCUGCUCAGUGCCUGAUGGGUGCUGUCCCCAUUGUGGUAUCAUGGUCUGAUUAGGACGUGGAAGAUCAGGGUUCGAGUCCCCAUGCAAACAUGGAGCUCACUGGGCCAAUCACAGUCUCUGAGUGUUAUGUACUGAAGUUCUCACCCUGGGCCAGCAGGGGGAUACUGUAGAUAGUUAUGCAAAUGAAGGAUUGAAAGUGAUGUUCAGUGAUUGGAUGGAUACUGUAGAUAGUUAUGCAAAUGAAGGAUUGAAAGUGACGUUCAGUGAUUGGAUAGUUUUAGAAAGUUGUUACAGUAAUGAGGUUCUGGAGCUCUAUAUAAGCAGGCUGACUGAGCCCUUCAGUUCAGUUCUGUUCCAGCUUACAAAUAAAGAGCUGCUUUGGAGAAAUCGCUGUGUCGUCUGAUAUGUUCACCCACAACUUAACGCUGAGCCUAACCUACCCCCAGCGUGAAGAAUUGUAUACACCACCUUGAGCUCUUUGGAGGAAAGGUGGGGUAUGAAUAUUAAGAAAUGAAACUUCCCUAACACUUUCUGCUUAAGUGAUCUAGUUUGAAGAGCGGGAGAAGGCUCUCCCUCUUAGGCCCUGGGUAGGACUUGUUCCAUCUGGAAACAAAUCGGGCACAAGGUUCUUUAGCUGAUUGCCCAGAGUUCCACAAAAUAUUUUUUGGGGUAUGUCAGCCCAUUACUACACCAUAUCAGCAAGCUUGCAAGGAGUCCAACAUACUAUGUAGGUCAACUUUUUGCCCAAGAAGAGGCUUACCUGUACAGAAAGCACCCCUGGCAGCUGUUUUCACUAGUACUAGUAAGAGUGUUCUGAAUUUGCUAAAUGUUUUGGUCCUCCCACCCACCCAUUUUUUCCAGACCCUUGAUCAUCUUGGUUGUCCUCCUCUACAUACAUUCCAGCUUGUCAAUAGCCGCCUUAAAUUGUGGCACCCAGAACUGGACACAGUACUCUGGACGUGGUCUAAGGCAGAAUACAGCAGAACUAUUAUUUCCCUUGAUCUGGACACUAUGCAGCCUAGUAGAGCACAGAGGUCAAACUAAAUCUGGAUCUGGGUGUGAAUUUGGAAAGACCAGAUGGGCACAUCUGGAAUUUAGAGAAAGAGACAUGGGUACCAGUCACAAAAUGGCUACAUGGAGCUGUGUAAGGGUAGGGCAAACAAACCUACCCCAAGCAGGAACUGAGCAGGAAGAAUAAAUGGUACAAAUGCAUUGUGGAUUUUUGAGGGGAUAUUGACUGAGAACUUAGAAUAAUACAAUUGUAGAGUUGGAAGGGACCACGAGGGUCAUCUAGUCCAACCCCCUGCAAUGCAGGAAUCUUAUGCCCAAGGUGGGGCUCGAACUCAUGGCUAAGAAUCUCAUGUUCUACCAACUGAGCUACCCCAGCAAGCUCUUGUGCAGGUUCUGUAGGAGAUCCUAGCUGCAUUAGUGAGCCCUGAUCUAGGUCAAGCUGAAAGUGGAGCGAGGCUUUCUGAACUGGGGCAGUUUAAAAAUCCGAACUCCCCCAAUUCUGAAUUUUAUCCCCUCGCUAUAAAUGCCCCAUUGAGACCCUUUCAAAAUAUGAUUGAGGAGCAUUGCACUUCCUCAUAGCACCUGCCUACAUCUUUUAAAAACAUAGCUUUGCAUCUGGAGAAUUGUCUGUCUAAUUGUUCCUUACUCGUCUUGCCCAAGGGCAGAUAAAAAGUUGAAGAGGAUUUUCUUUCUGUGCAACUGGUGUUAGCGCAAGGUUAGGAAAGGGCAGACAAGGUCACACUCAGAUCUCCUUCCAACAGGCCGGUUCAAGUUUAACUGUGGACAAGCCCCGGGAGCCAAUAAGGAAUCAAAUAACUGAAUCUUUUUUAUUUUAUUUUAUUUUAAAAGGUCAUAUCGCUGCUGCUGCUGCUUCUUUUACAGCCGUCUUUCAUAUGGAGUGCGAGGCAUUUAAAAUUCUCAUUGUACGUUCUCAUGAGAACACUUGUAAUGAAAAGGGGAGCUUGCAUAUUAUAAAUCCAUUCUCCCGGUAAUAAUUGUAACUAGAACAGUUACUGCUACAAACGUAAUUCGUUAAUUCAUCCAUAUGACAACUUGAGAGCUGAAAUACAAGUUAGGGCACUGCACAAGCUCACUUGGGCUCUAGAAGUUUAUCAUACAUAUCAGUGGUGCUACUGCCUGGAGGGUUUUUAGAGCUAAAACCAACUUAGCAGCGUUGGAAAGCUGAAAGCUUUGGGAACUGUCGAACACAGUAGUAUCAUAUGCACUAGCUGUGUAUGUGGCAGGGAAUGAGGAAUUGCAGACUGGAAUGGCUUGCAAAACAGAACCAAUCAUUGCUGCACUGUUGUAUGCAGAUGAACCCCAUGGAAAACAUCACUUAGAUGCAGCCUUACCCAAUUUAGUACUAGGGCUGGGUGAUAUACCAAUAAAUCACCCAAAACCGGUUUGAAGUCCAUAUUGUGAUAUCGGUUUGAUAGUUUUUGACCUGGCUAUAUAUUGUGAAUCAUGUUAGGGCUAAGCGAUAUAUUGUCCAAACCCAGUUUCAAGCCCAUGUCAUGAUAUUGGUGUCAGAAUUUUUGACCUGGCAAUAUAUUGUGAAUUAUGGGGUGUAUGUGUGUGCGUGCACACACGCACUAUGCAAACAUCACAAUGUGGGGGGAAAGCUGUGAAGCCAGCCAAUGUCUCUACAUAGUUCUAUCCUUAUUUCAGACAUUCUGGUUUGUUUUUGUUUUUUAAAUGAUAUUUAUUAAAGUUUCAAAGAAAAAAUUGCAUAUAU